Molecule: long non-coding RNA, 1658 nt
Filed under: Heterocephalus glaber (naked mole-rat)
Lineage: Eukaryota; Metazoa; Chordata; Mammalia; Rodentia; Bathyergidae
Description: lncRNA (ENSHGLG00000046715.1)
Source: RNAcentral
UACACCUACACCUUGGAAAGGUAGGCAGCCAGGAAAAAGAAUGAGGAAAGUAUGUAAGUGGUAAAGAGGAAUAUCACUUGGAUACACCAUGGAGUGCACCAAGAAAGAUUUGUCAAACAAAUUAUACAUGGGUCUCACUAUGUAGCCAAGGCUGUCCUGGAACUCGUGAGCUUCCUGCUUCAGCCUCCUAGGUGUUGGGAUCACAGGUGCGCACCACCACACCCAGCUUCAUGCUCUUGAUUUUGCAGAUAGAACUGAGAAACCUUUUCCCCCAAAUAAUGGAACUGACCAACAAGGAAAACUCACCAGCAAGGGCCAUACACAAGUAAAAAGAACUCUUUGCUGCUGCUGGUGUAGACUCAGACAAGGUUAAUGGACCAAGAUAAACAUUCUCCUUCGCCUCCUGAGCAUCAAACGGGAAACACAGGCCACACAAAGCCCUAUCUUAAAUUCUGCUGUUGUGAGUGGAAGAUUCUGAGCACACUUCGCUCAGGGUAACGUGGGCUGGGGGUGAGCAGGAUUCAGCCGGGGCUCAUAGGUCUCAGGUCUGCCAGGAAGGCCUCGCCCAGGCGGGAAGUGCCUUCCACCUGAAGUGUUUGCCCCUGAAUGGAGAGAAUCUUCCCUGACCAGGAAGCUUGCUGGGCACACCUAGCUUCUUUUCGAAAAUUCUCAUGGCACUUUCCAGAAACAAAUAGAUCUGGAAUUAGAAAAAUGCCAUCUGAUUAAAAUAUAAAUAAACUUUACCAUGCAAAGUUGCUCAGUAGAAGAGGCUCAGGGUAGAUCUGGGUUCUAAGGCCAGGCUUUCCCCUCCCUCCCCAUGUGAAUCUUUAAGACAAGCUAUCUUCCUGUCUGCCCAUCCUGGGGAUCAAGCCUACAGCCUCACUCACUAACACGGGUUCCACCGGAGCCAUGGCCCAGCCCCAAUCUUCGCCUCUGCAGCCUCAGUCUCCACAUCUGUAAAUGGAAUAAUAACAGACCUCGGGAAGCCUGGCAAGGUAGCACACACCUGUAAGCCCAGCACGCGGGAGGCUGAGGCAGGCAGGAGGAUCACGAGUUCAAGGCCAACCUGGGUAACAUAGUAAGUUCAAAGCCAGCCUGGAUUAUAUAGCAAGGCCCUGUCUUCAAAACCAAAACCCAAACCUAACCCAAACCAAACAGGCCUGGGGUAAUGUGAGGAUUCUAUGUCUACGCAUGUGGACAGCCAGCCUGGAUGAAGCUUGGCUUGCGGUUCUUGCUAAUCAGACCAAAGUGCAGACCCAAAAGUGUCCCGGCGAGCUGCAGAGACCAUUUAGUCAGCGCUUCCCAUGGCCCAGAACAGUGUCGGGUAAGACAUUUAUAAGCAUGGGAUGGGUUACCCCCCCCCAUCACUGAGCUGCACCCCCACCGCGGGUGGAAAUCUCAGCCCUCCAGAGUGGUUCCUCUCUGCGUCCCAUUUUAGAGACGAGAGUCAGAGAGGUGAGGCGCUGUCCACGACGUCCACCUCAGAGGCAGUGCUGGGCGCCCCAGCUGGUCACCUCCUCAGGCUGCCUUCAGGUUCUUGGCUUCCUGUUCUACGCUUUGAGUCCCAAGACCAUCAAACUGUGGGCAUCACCUCUGGCUGGCUUCCGUGUUGUUCCCGAGCCUCUGUCAUCAUUGGUAUAAUUUUACAUCAACUUGGC